This 299-nucleotide long non-coding RNA is filed under the name Elaeis guineensis (African oil palm). RNAcentral's name for it is "long non-coding RNA (EGUI_LNC060489)". The record is from RNAcentral. Lineage: Eukaryota; Viridiplantae; Streptophyta; Magnoliopsida; Arecales; Arecaceae.
UGCAGAUAUAGUUUUCAUAUAAUGCUCAUAGGACACCUCAGAGUUCAACUGUCAACUCUGAUCAGGUUGUCCACAUUGUAUUUCAAAAUAUCAAAUUCAUCUGAUGGAUUAUCCUGGCCAAGAUUUUGCUAAAUUGAAAUAAAGCGACUCAUUCUUCUCCAACUCUUGGAGUGGUCAAUCCCAUCUUGAUCAUACUCUGACUUUGCAGGUACUUGACUGUGCCCAGAAACCUUCCGUCACUGAAUUAGAAAUUCAGUUAGUCCAGUACCAAAGCACAAUGAGUUGCUUGCAAGUCACUG